This is a long non-coding RNA of Bubalus bubalis (water buffalo), 974 nucleotides long. RefSeq lists it as uncharacterized. The record is from RefSeq and is a predicted model, not a curated record. The transcript is spliced from 2 exons. Lineage: Eukaryota; Metazoa; Chordata; Mammalia; Artiodactyla; Bovidae.
UAAUUUUUUUUCUAUAGUUUUUUCUGUAAUAUUUUGGGAUAUCUUUGUGUAUGUGUCUUUUAUGAUUGCUAAAGCAUUACAUUAUGGACACAUACUUAUUUCAGUCUGCGGAUGUUGACAUUUUAUCAAUUGGAUAAGUUCUUUUACUCUUCAUUAUUUAUAGUAUGAUCUUAAAUAUUUUCUACAUACACUGAAAGUCUUAUUAAUAAUAUUUUUGUCUAAACCAUCAAACAUAACUUAGAGGAUACUGAUAUUUUCCUUGUUUCAUUUUUCAUUUUUUCUUCAUAAUGUUCUAAUAUUCCUUCUUUUAUCAUUUACUAACUGUCCCGAGGAUUUCUUUAAAAUUAGGAUAGGUCUCUGAGUAACAAAUUCUCUUAAUUUUCUUUCCUCUGAGAAUAUCUUGAUUUACUCUUCAUUCCUGAAGGAUAUUUUCUCUACAUGCAGAAUUCUGGGUUGAAAGUUCUUUUCUUUUAGCCCUUGAAAAAUUGUGUGUUACUUUCUUCUGGUUUUAAUAAUUUCUUAUAACAAUUGUGUCAUUCAAAUUAUUUCUCCUCUAGAAAUGGCAACCCACUCCAGUAUUCUUGCGUGGAGAAUCCCAUGGAUGGAGGAGCCUGGUGGGCUACAGUCCAUGGGGUCGCAAAGAGUUGGACACAACUGAGCGACUUCACUUCACUAAAGUGACAUCUUACAAAACAUCUAGUUUUGCUUGUCUAAGCGCUCAAACCCAGACCAAAUGGCUGAUCCCACAUAUCCAUGUUCACACUACUGUCUGAUUGCCUACAUGGUUUUGCAUCUAGAAUUCAGUUCACCAGCAUUCCCUCGUGUCUACAGUUCUUCGAUAACCUAAUACAAAGGAUGAUGCUUCCCUGUUUUAUUUUUUCUUGUGCUACAAAGAAACAAAGAUGUUUUGUUCCUUUGACAUCUUAAUUAGAAAUUAAUGAAAGCAUUGUUCAUUUGCAUGAUUAACUAAAAUU